UUAUGAGAGUUCGAUCCUGGCUCAGGAUGAACGCUGGCGGCGUGCCUAACACAUGCAAGUCGAACGAGAUGCGUAUUGGUAAGCUUCGGCCGGAAGAUGCGUUAUCUAGUGGCGGACGGGUGAGUAACACGUGGGUAACCUGCCUUAUGGAGGGGGAUAACAGAGAGAAAUCACUGCUAAUACCGCAUAAGCACACAUUGCCGCAUGCCAGAGUGUGAAAAGAUUUAUCGCCAUAAGAUGGACCCGCGUCUGAUUAGCCAGUUGGCAGGGUAAAAGCCUACCAAAGCAACGAUCAGUAGCCGAUCUGAGAGGAUGACCGGCCACAUUGGGAC
RNAcentral lists this ribosomal RNA (332 nucleotides) under Oribacterium parvum. RNAcentral describes it as "bacterial SSU rRNA". It matches the Rfam family "Bacterial small subunit ribosomal RNA", at positions 1 to 319 of the family's 1533-position model. The record is from RNAcentral. Lineage: Bacteria; Bacillati; Bacillota; Clostridia; Lachnospirales; Lachnospiraceae.